CUGCUGCUGCUUUAUUUUAAACUAUGCUUUUUAAUUAUCUUUAUUACUCACGAAAUCCUUCUAUUCCAACAAACAAUAUAUUUCCGUUUUCAAUAUAUUUCCGUUUUUCUCUAUCCCUUUCAUCUAAAUAAUUUUUGGCAUAAUUAAAAGUUUUUUGUGAUAUGGAACAAGAGAUCAUCGCAGAUUUGCGGAUUUCAAGUUAAGCGUUUUGUACGAGGUGAUUACGAAGGCGAUUUGUCUUAGGGUUCUGAGAAGUGGACGAAGGUUUUGAGACUUGAUUUUCAUCUUGCUAGGAAACCCUUUAGUGGCUUCUCUAAUGGUGAUUCUGAAUUCAAGAUGGAGACGUUGAUCCCUGCACUAACAAGUUCCAAGUUCGCAAAGAAAAAAAAAAAUCAAAAGAAAGGGAAGAUUGAGCAGUCAUUGAUUAACAUAAACAUAUAUGUCUUUUUAUUUAUCCGAGAACUCCUUUGUGGUUUUGUUGGCAUUUGGUCGGUGUAGGUGAUUUGUAGGGUCUGGGUUUGAAGAAUCUUGGGAAUACAUAUUUUCUGAAUUCUGUAUCGCAAUUUUUGACAUACACUGAGUGCUUAGAUGCUUACUUUCUAGAUGUUGGCAAUGUGAAAUCCUGUAAGUUGCAUUUAGAAGAUGGUUUGAUUAAUUGCUUGGCUUGGUGGGUCUUUUAUUCAGUGUCUAAUUGGAUGUUCUCAUGAAAACGUUUGUGUAGUCCAUGUGACUGGGUUUUGUGCUUUAUGUGCAAUGCAGAGGCAUGUUAGGACGGCCCUUCAAGCUCAUGGCAGAAUAGCAGCACCAAGUCUCAAACUUUGGAGGAUCUCUGCCCUUGCAGGAUCUUCUUUGAGGAAUGAGAGGAGCCACAUCUCAUGUCAUUGCCAAAAAAGCCGAAAUGAUGAAAGCAAUGAUUUUCACAAAAGUUCCGGUGGAUGUCGAUCCUAUGCUUUAAUUGGAGGAUAGCAAUCAAUAAACACCUCAGCUUUUGUCUAUCAUUUUCAUUAAGAUUUUUUUGUUUCACUCAUAUAUUCGUGUACCUCUCAGCUUUCCUCUGAUGUUAAAGAACAGGAAACUUCAGCAGUUGAUUACACAGCAGGGGACAUGAUCUUUUUCUACCGUGAUUCCCCAUACCUCCAAGGCUCUAUCUGCAGUAGAAGAGAGUGAUAGGACAGGAAAUGCCAUGAAAAGAGGAUGACGAAGAAAAUGAGCAUGAUGAAGAACAUUUUCACUAACCUGGGGUAGAACUAAAUUAUAAAACAUCAUAGAGUUUUACCUCUAUUGACUGAGCCGUGGAAAGUCUGUAAACAUGAACAUGUUUGGUUUGACCAAUUCGGUGACAUUUGUCCAUGGCUUGCAAGGCCAUUCGAGAGUUUUGUAUCAAGAAUCCC
This is a long non-coding RNA of Brassica oleracea var. oleracea, 1391 nucleotides long. RefSeq lists it as uncharacterized. The record is from RefSeq and is a predicted model, not a curated record. Lineage: Eukaryota; Viridiplantae; Streptophyta; Magnoliopsida; Brassicales; Brassicaceae. The transcript has 3 exons.